ACCAGACUCCUACGGGAGGCAGCAGUGAGGAAUAUUGGCCAAUGGGCGAGAGCCUGAACCAGCCAAGUCGCGUGAGGGAGUACUGCCCUAUGGGUUGUAAACCUCUUUUGUCGGGGAGCAAAAGCCGGACGUGUCCGGCUGUGAGAGUACCCGAAGAAAAAGCAUCGGCUAACUCCGUGCCAGCAGCCGCGGUAAUACGGAGGAUGCGAGCGUUAUCCGGAUUUAUUGGGUUUAAAGGGGGCGUAGGCGGGAUGCAAAGUCAGCGGUAAAAGGCGGGGGCUAAACCUGCGUCCGCCGUUGAAACUGGCGUUCUUGAGUGGGCGAGAAGUAUGCGGAAUGCGUGGUGUAGCGGUGAAAUGCAUAGAUAUCACGCAGAACUCCGAUUGCGAAGGCAGCAUACCGGCGCCCAACUGACGCUGAAGCACGAAAGCGUGGGUAUCGAACAGGAUUAGAUACCCUCGUAA
RNAcentral lists this ribosomal RNA (464 nucleotides) under uncultured bacterium. Its description in RNAcentral is "partial 16S ribosomal RNA". It matches the Rfam family "Bacterial small subunit ribosomal RNA", at positions 330 to 793 of the family's 1533-position model. The record is from RNAcentral.